Juglans microcarpa x Juglans regia is the source of this 918-nucleotide long non-coding RNA. RefSeq lists it as uncharacterized. The record is from RefSeq and is a predicted model, not a curated record. The transcript has 2 exons. Lineage: Eukaryota; Viridiplantae; Streptophyta; Magnoliopsida; Fagales; Juglandaceae.
GAGAUAUUAGUUGGCUUGAAUAAUCUAUCUUUUUCAUUGAUGUAAACAAUAUUUAUAGACAAAUGAUUCUACUGACUUGGCAAAAUAAUUGCCUACUUACAGGGAAUUAAAUGAAUGACUAGCACAUGCUGCCGAAUUACUUAGAAUUAAAUAACAGACCGAAAUUUAAGACACGACUCAACAACUCCACAAGAUAAUCUAUAGACCAGCAACUUUUGGUAUUUGCAAUUGACUAAUUAAACUAAAGAAAUAAGAAUUUAAUACAGUGGACCUAUGGGCCUAAUAACCAUGAGAGCAUCAUGUUUCACUCAUCGGUGCCCCAGCAUAGUAGUCCAAAUUACGGGGCCUGACUCGUAACAAUCCCCUCCCCUUUUGUGACCUUGUCCAUAAGGUCUGGAAAUUCCUUCUUCAAUUUGUAGUAAUUUUUCCACAAAGCAUCUUCAGGAGCGAGACCUCUCCAUUGAACCAGUACCUCGACGCCAGCCUUUUAUUUUGUUUCACCACUCGGUGUUGAAGAAGCUUCUUUGGCUCAGGUCGAAGUGAUCCAUCCGCAGCAGUUGGUGGCAACUUGGUGGAGAGGAGGUUGCGGCGACCCAACUUUGGCUUCAAGCUGGAGACAUGGAAGGUGGGAUGAACCCUAGAGUCACCUGGAAGCUCCAAUCGGUGUGCUUGCUGUUUUUCAUGUGUCUCUUGAACCUGCUUUAAAGUGGCUAAUGAGUCGGCUAACUGGGAAUAACGAGUACUGACAUUACCCUCAGUCAUGGAUGCACCGGCUCUUGAUACCAAUGUUAGGAUAGAAAAUAAGAUAUUAAUGGAAUGGAUAGGAAUUGAUCUGUUCGAGAAGAUCACUCUCUAGAGAUAUUAGUUGGCUUGAAUAAUUUGUCUUUUUCAUUUAUGCAAACAAUAUUUAUAGACAAA